GUGAGAGGUAGAUUCUUGACUUGCCGGGGUGACUUGCGGGUUGCUUCAGUGAGUCAUUGUGGUUUGAGCAAUGAGAACUUUAUGCCCUAAACUUGACCCUUCUCCGUUUGCCGUCUUCCCUACAUCACCCCAGAUGUGAAGACAUGAACUUAGGGACUGAGACGGUGCCAAGCCAAGACUCUACGGAAGCCACUGGGCCCGACAAAGACAAGGAGCAUAACAAAAAGACAUCAGUGGGACAUCAAAUGGCUACAUAACCAGGACCAUCACAGCCAGUGUCAUCAUUAAAGGACUCACAACUUGUGGUUUAUCGUGACAAGUUUCUUCAUAACAUGUCUGAUCAAGAGACACAGUCGACACUGAGAGAGGCAUAACAAUGGAUAACACAAACUUGGGUCUACUUGUCCUAAAAUAAACCUCAUCACCAGAAACCAUGAGCUAAUUAAAAGUACAGCUAAGAUGCCAAUUUAGAAACGAUAUCCCGUGGGCUAAGGCUCUUUUCAAGAUGAAGCCAAGCAUAUAAUGAGGGAUAGAUGACACAGGGG
Molecule: long non-coding RNA, 545 nt
Filed under: Fukomys damarensis (Damara mole-rat)
Lineage: Eukaryota; Metazoa; Chordata; Mammalia; Rodentia; Bathyergidae
Description: lncRNA (ENSFDAG00000024128.1)
Source: RNAcentral